CUACGGGCCGCUGCAGUGGGGAAUAUUGCGCAAUGGACGAAAGUCUGACGCAGCGACGCCGCGUGGAGGAUGAAGGUUCUCGGAUCGUAAACUCCUGUCAAGAGGGAAGAAACCUAUCAUGAAUAAUACUCAUGGUAAUUGACGGUACCUCUAGAGGAAGCACCGGCUAAUUCAGUGCCAGCAGCCGCGGUAAUACUGAAGGUGCAAGCGUUAAUCGGAAUCACUGGGCGUAAAGCGCUCGUAGGUGGCUUUGUAAGUCAGGUGUGAAAGCCCACGGCUCAACCGUGGAAUUGCACUUGAUACUGCAUGGCUAGAGUACAGGAGAGGGAAGUGGAAUUUCUGGUGUAGGAGUGAAAUCCGUAGAGAUCAGAAGGAACACCUGUGGCGAGGGCGGCUUCCUGGACUGUUACUGACACUGAGGAGCGAAAGCGUGGGGAGCAAACAGGAUUAGAUACCCCCGUAGUC
This 465-nucleotide ribosomal RNA is filed under the name uncultured bacterium. RNAcentral describes it as "partial 16S ribosomal RNA". It matches the Rfam family "Bacterial small subunit ribosomal RNA", at positions 339 to 795 of the family's 1533-position model. The record is from RNAcentral.